Long non-coding RNA from Orcinus orca (killer whale), 918 nucleotides. RefSeq lists it as uncharacterized. The record is from RefSeq and is a predicted model, not a curated record. The transcript has 3 exons. Lineage: Eukaryota; Metazoa; Chordata; Mammalia; Artiodactyla; Delphinidae.
CACGUGGUCCACUGGCCGUCGCGGGAUUGUCCGGAUCGGGCUGCUGCGGCAGCCGGCGGGGUAGCGAGGUGGAGCAGUGUGGGAAGCCCCAAGCCCGUACCUCUGGGACUGAACGGCGGCGGGUGGGCUGCGGUCAGCCUCUGCAGGCCUGGGCAGGCCUCCUGAGAGUCUAGGGCGUAAGAGUUUUGGGGGUUCCCAAAGUGGGCUGCGGACCCCCUGCCUGAGGCUUUGGUUUGAGCCCUGGAUCCGGCCUUGUGUUUCCCCGGAAGGAUGGCGUCUCAGUCUUUCCUGAAGUUGGGUGCCAUGCAGAAUGCCAUGAGUUACAAGUUGGAGGACGGAGGGCUUAGAGAUGCUUGAGGGACGUCCUUAACCUACGUGAAAUGUUGGAGGUUGAGGUGAAAAAUAUGGCUUUGAUAUCUUCAUGGAAAACUGCAUUAGUUCAGUCCUGAAUCUGGUUCGGUUCCCUUAUUGACUCAUUACUAUAUUAAAAAUGUUUAUUUAGCAGUGAUUGUAAAAUGAAAGUAAUUAACAUGUACAUGUGUUUUGGGGGGAGACUAAGGGGAAACACGUGUUCAGCCUAGAAAAACAUUUCUCAUUGGAUUUCCUGUGAAGUCAGUGUGUCUUGGGUUUAACUUUGAAACAAAUUAAAAAAUUUUUAAAUUAAAAAAAAAGUUUACUUAACUAUGGUAUUUGUUCUGGUAAAACCUUGUGGUUUAAUAAGAAUUUUUGCAAAUAUCCAUUAUACUCUUCUCAUGGUACAUAAAGUGUUAAUAUUUUAAAAUCUAUAGGAUAUUCUAUUUCAAAAUUUAGUUCUAUUAUCUUAGUGCUAUCAGAAAAUGUGCUUUGAAUUGCUGAAAUGAGUUGUAUUGGACAACACCUGUCUCAGCAGAGGCACUUAAAAAUCACUUUCAUCCUUCC